GUCUAUGGCCAUACCACCCAGAACACGCCUGAUCUCAAAAGCCAAGCAGGGUCAGGCCUGGUUAGUAUUUGGAUGGGAGACUGCCUGGGAAUAACGGGUGCCAUAGGCA
Molecule: ribosomal RNA, 109 nt
Filed under: Aotus nancymaae (Ma's night monkey)
Lineage: Eukaryota; Metazoa; Chordata; Mammalia; Primates; Aotidae
Source: RNAcentral